This is a long non-coding RNA of Parus major (Great Tit), 2476 nucleotides long. The record is from Ensembl. Lineage: Eukaryota; Metazoa; Chordata; Aves; Passeriformes; Paridae.
GGUCACUUGACAAGUGACAGCAAAGAUAAAAGGCUGGGGCAUGUUGUGACAUGUACCUGGGUUUAUCUUCCCCAUUUGUAGCACACUUUUCUUUGUGUAUUUCUCUCCUCCUCUAUUGCCCUUGUUGCUGUUGACCUCUUGCAAACAUGGCACCUCUGCUUCCCAGAUUUUGGGAGCAUUGAGACACAAAAAACCUGCUUGAGUUGGAAGGCAAAUACAUCCUUUGGUUUUCCUUACAUUUUUCAAUUUAUCACCUCUGUUCUCCUAUGUGUCCCCUCCCUUUUUUGCAUCCUUUUUCACCUCACCAAGACUACUUGGUCCUCUUUUUUUCCUGCAGGUUUCUCCUGCAGCCCUGGCAAAUCCAUGCACCACCCUCUGGUACAGAGCUGGUCUAGAGGUGACAGUGAGGGCUGAGGGCCACGCUGGGCUGGGCUGGAUCCACGGAGCAGGACAGCCCUCACCUCACCCUGGAGAUGCUGCAGGAUGAGUAUUUGAAAAUACAAGGGGUAAAGCAAACAAAGAGGAUGCAGAUUUGGUACAAAGUGCGAUAUUUGCUUGUUACAUGUUUGGCCAUGUUCAUGCAUUCUGGGAACAAAAAAGAGGCACUGAAGGGGCAGGAUGGUGGCUCCUUUGCCAAGCACAAAGAGGAUAUAUUUUCCCCUCCUCAUUAUCCUACUCCUUCACCUCAGACUGAGGCUAAAAAAGCCAUGAACAACCAUGGUGAAACAACAAGGGAAACUACUGGUGUUUUUGGACAUGAGAUGAUUUGGAAUUUUUAUUUAGCACUGAUGUCUUUUCAGUAAAAAGAGAAGAUGCACAUACACACACACAAAAGAGGUCUCUUUCCAAGAGAAACGAUAUAGCAAAACUCUGAUUGUAAUUCAAGAAUUAAAGUUAAGUAUUAUGUGUGUAUGUGAUAGAUCUCAGAGAAGAGUCCUGUUAGAGGGGAAACAAGAAAAGCUGCACAGACACAAGAACUCAGGAGCAAACAAGACUGUCUUUGCAGAAUGGAUCAGUUCUUGGAAAACCGAGGGCGUACCAAAGGGGGAAGUCACUAGAGGGCAUCAUCACCUACUCAAUCCUGCCUGCAGACCAGGUCAGACCUAUCAUACCCUACCCUCCAGAAGCUACGCUGUUCUCUGUAGGAGUGCCUCCUGCAGAGCUCUGAAAACUCAGAUUCCACUUGUUCCCAUGGCCUUAGCAGAGGAGGUCCUGCAGGGGCACGAUGAAAAUGGACUACUUUGGGUUACAGCAGAGAAGAGAAGAGAAUUGUUAAAAAUGGCGCUACUGAACAGACCUGUCCAUCAACUUCCUUCACUUCUGUGUGGGAUUAUUUGUAAAAGUACUCACAUAUCAACUUUUCCAAACUGCCCUGACCAUUUGGAAAGACAAAGUGCUGAACAGAACGUGAGAAGAUGAGUAGCUUUGUAAGACCCAGGGCAGGAAUUAUCUCCCACAGAUUCACCAUGGAUGUGUCUACUGUGCAGCACUCCUAACACAACCCAGCUCCCAGACUUCCACAAGGGCUCUUAGAGUGAACACGAGAGUUGAAAGAUCUGGGUGUUGCAUGAACUGAAAACAUAGGGGAGAAGGUCCAUCAGCCCCAUUCUUUAUUUAUCCUUUUCUCUCUUGUUUCCUGUGCUCCCUAAAAAAUCCUGUAGUGUAUCAUCUCCAUAGCUUUGAAUUUUUAACCAUAAGCACAACACAGUCUCAGGAUCCUUUAAAACAUCACUGCUUGGACUGCUUUCCUAGUGGUAAAGCAUGCACAUGCAACCUGGGAGUCAGGGAGAUUUUGGUCCCUUGAAUCUUAUUACAGACAGUGCUUCACACACACAAAUUCACACCAGGGUGAAACUCAGGUACAGGCUGCCCCCUGCUUACCAUCCCCAUGUCCCAGUCCCACAGCUGGGGUGUGGUGUGGGUGUGACAGGCCACGGGACUCGUGUUCCCCUGUCUGCGCACAGGGAUGGCACAGGGAGCACCUGCUGCUCAGCUAGGUGCAGGGCAGAAGAGAUUUUAUCACUGUGAGACCUCACUGCUGGCAUUUUCCAAAUUAAUCUCUUUUGUGGGUGAAAAGCUGUAGUAUCUUGAGUAAGGUCUUUAUCUGUCAAAGGACUUGGAAGGAAUAUCCAUUUUUUCAGGAAAUUAUGGAGCUCAGAAAAACUGCAGGCUAGAGAUGCAUUGUCUUAUGGCACGCAAAAUACACCUGUCUCACCAGGGUCUUCCAAGAGCAGCUUUGGACCACCUCCAAAGCCUGGAGCAGUGCAAAAAGCACCUGAAUUUCCAGUGUGGGAAACACCUGUUACACAGGAAACAUGUCCAUAGGUCAUAAAGAGUGUGUUGCAUUUUGAUUUUCUCCUGGGAUUUUCCUUUCAAAGGGUGGGUACAUGGAGCUGUUCUAUCCAUGCUGACUCCCAAGUGCAUGCUUCAGUCUGGAGGGAAUAAAUAAGCAGUAGGUGAAUAAAACCCCUGCCCU